GAUGAACGCUGGCGGCGUGCCUAACACAUGCAAGUCGUACGAGCUCGAUCUUCGGAACGGGUUAGUGGCGCACGGUGAGUAACACGUAGGUGACCUACCCCCAGAGUGGGGGAUAACUUCUCGAAAGAGAGGCUAAUACCGCAUACACUCGGUCAUUCAUUUGGCCGAGCAAAGCUCCGGCGCUUUGGGACGGGCCUGCGUCCGAUUAGCUAGUUGGUAGGGUAAUGGCUUACCAAGGCUUUGAUCGGUAGCUGGUCUGAGAGGACGAUCAGCCACACUGGCACUGACACACGGGCCAGACUCCUACGGGAGGCAGCAGUGAGGAAUAUUGGGCAAUGGGCGAAAGCCUGACCCAGCAACGCCGCGUGAGGGAUGAAGGCCUUCGGGUUGUAAACCUCUUUCUGGAGAAGAGACAAGGACGGUAUCCCAGGAAUAAGUCUCGGCUAACUACGUGCCAGCAGCCGCGGUAAU
RNAcentral lists this ribosomal RNA (471 nucleotides) under uncultured bacterium. Its description in RNAcentral is "bacterial SSU rRNA". It matches the Rfam family "Bacterial small subunit ribosomal RNA", at positions 28 to 524 of the family's 1533-position model. The record is from RNAcentral.